RNAcentral lists this ribosomal RNA (595 nucleotides) under Symbiodinium sp. clade B. RNAcentral's name for it is "eukaryotic LSU rRNA". It matches the Rfam family "Eukaryotic large subunit ribosomal RNA", at positions 83 to 671 of the family's 3401-position model. The record is from RNAcentral. Lineage: Eukaryota; Dinophyceae; Suessiales; Symbiodiniaceae.
GUAAUGGUGAAUGAACAGGGAUGAGCUCAGGCUGGAAACCGAUACAUCUGUGUCGGGCUGUAGCCUGCAGGCAUAGCGCUAUCGGCGGCUCGAGCGCAAGCCUCUUGGAAUAGAGCGUGUGCCCGGGUGAGAAUCCUGCAUCUCGCUCGAUGUCCGCUGUCCACAGUGCUUGUCCUGAGAGUCACGCUCCUCGGAAUUGGAGCGUAAAUCAGGUGGUAAGUUUCAUCCAAAGCUAAAUAGAAGCUCGAGACCAAUAGCAAACAAGUACCAUGAGGGAAAGAUGAAAAGGACUUUGGAAAGAGAGUUAAAAGUGUUUGAAAUUGCUGAGAGCGAAGCGAACGGAGCCACAUGUCGUGCUGAGAUUGCUGUGGGUCUUUGUGAGCCUUGAGCAUGUAAGCGCAAGCUGACUGCUUAUGUGUGAGCAUUUACCCGCAGUGUUUCUCAGCAUGCGAGUCAUUAGCCACAUUUGUUUGAGGAUGGCCUUCAGCUCACAUGGUACACUUGUUAGUGUUCCUCUGUGCGGUGUGGGACUCAGACAGGUGUGGCUUGUUGACCCAGUGGUUUUUUUCGACCCGUCUUGAAACACGGACCAAGG